This 1087-nucleotide long non-coding RNA is filed under the name Olea europaea subsp. europaea. Lineage: Eukaryota; Viridiplantae; Streptophyta; Magnoliopsida; Lamiales; Oleaceae. The record is from RNAcentral.
CUGACGUGACAUUUGCAAAAUAAAAAUCCAUUUUGAAGACAAACAUAACACACCGGUCACAACUCUCCCACGACUUCUCUCUCCGGAAAGGUGAAAAACCCCUAAAAUUGAACUUACGUCUCUAGUGUCGCCACAUCGUACUUCGCCGACGAUGUCUUCGUCUCCGACCAACCAUCGUUUGCCGCCGCAAAAAGAAGGGGCCAAGAUCCGUUCAGAAUUGUUCAUCCUUCGAAGAACUUUCCAUUAAGCAUUUACAGGCCAUCAAUGAUGGCUUUGGAGCUGAGCCGAUUGGCCCUAGGCCUGCAAUAUCCUCACUUAAGUGAAUUACCCUUAAGGAGCUUUAUAACGGACAGUGUUUUGGGCUCUUGAUGAUUGGCUCAAAAAACUUGAAGACUUUGGAGUUUCUCAAGUGUUUUAGGGGAUCGGGAUAGUUUGUUGGAGAAUAUUGCUCGGAGAAAAUUUUGUUUAACAGAGAUUCAUUAAGAGAGGUUGCAGGUGAGUGAUAUUGGGCUAAUGGGAAUAUCGAAGAGCCCAAACUUGGAGAAUCUUUCACUUAGUAAAAGUUCUAGUUGCUCAAAUGAGGGGAUUUGUGCAGUUUGCUGAGAAUUGAUGUUAAGAAAAAUAUAAAUUGUAUUAUUAUAAUCUCUUGUGAAUAUUACAAUUUAGAAGACCCUAUUCAUUUAGCAAGAAUUCUGUGAGUUCUGUGAAUUUCUUCCAAGCAAUCACUUAAUCUUCCCCUUCAAAGGUUCUGAACAACCCAAAUUAAAUCUUUUGAUGCCAUCAGAUCAAAGGAUAUUGGAACUCGAGAAGGAGUGCAAACCGAAGCAUUUUUCGACGAACAGUUCUUUGAUCAGUCAUUCCAGAGAUACUGGAUUGAGUACUCAUGAUAUUGCUACUGAGGGAGAUAUUGAAAGCAAGAAGCCAUCUGAAGACCUUGAUGGUCUUUCAUUUAGUCCAGAUUUUCAGAUUUUGAUUCAUUGUGGAGCUAUUGAAUUAAGUAUAUGCAAUCUGAUUAUUUUAUAGUCAAACUUAGUGCAAUUUAAUCCUCUUCUUCCAAUUCAGUAUUUAGUCCAUGGAAGAAGAGUUU